UCACACAAGAGACCCAAAUUAACCGUAUACGGCGUAAAGAGUGGUACAAUACUAUCAUAGCAACUAGGAUUAAAAUGCAACUAGGCUGUCACAAGCUCAAGAUGCACCUAAGAUCACCCCCAAGAUGAUCCUAGCAUUCCUGAUUAAUUUAACCCCACGAAAGCUAGGGCACAAACUGGGAUUAGAUACCCCAUUAUGCCUAGCCCUAAAUCUUGAUGCUUGCCUUACUAAAGCAUCCGCCUGAGAACUACGAGCACAAACGCUUAAAACUCUAAGGACUUGGCGGUGCUCUAAACCCACCUAGAGGAGCCUGUUCUAUAAUCGAUAACCCACGAUUCACCCAACCACCUCUUGCUAGAGCAGCCUACAUACCGCCGUCGCCAGCCCACCUCCCCUGAGAGUCCCACAGUGAGCACAAUAGCCUACAAACCGUUAGUAAGACAGGUCAAGGUAUAGCCUAUGGGGUGGAAGAAAUGGGCUACAUUUUCUACGAUAGAAAA
RNAcentral lists this ribosomal RNA (500 nucleotides) under Cepphus columba. RNAcentral's name for it is "partial small subunit ribosomal RNA". It matches the Rfam family "Bacterial small subunit ribosomal RNA", at positions 521 to 1246 of the family's 1533-position model. The record is from RNAcentral. Lineage: Eukaryota; Metazoa; Chordata; Aves; Charadriiformes; Alcidae.